AAGUUCAUCUCCACUGAAUCUCCCUCCAACAACAUACAUGAUCUUUCUCUUCAUCAUGUAAACCCUAAUUUGAGCUUACGGAUUCUAUUUCUGCUAUGAUCGGCUUCUUUUAAGGAUGAACAUGGCGAGUCUUCCGUUUCCGUUCUGUAAUAUUGAGGAGAAUUGAAAACAAGGAGAUCGAUGCUGCUGGUGGUGCAGAAUGAAUGUGAGAAGCUGAGAAAUCAAUCACACUUCACACCUCACAACUGCAAGAAUCUAACCGCUUCACAUACUAGCUCUGAUGGUGGUUUCUCGUCGUGCUGCAGAAGACUCUUUCCCCCUCCCUUGAUUAAAUUCGAAGGACUUUUGCAUUGGAAUGAUAAUAGUGCAAUAAAGGUUAGUAAAUUUUCCUAUAAUAUGUAUUACCCUUAGUUUUUAUAUUUAGAAUAUGAAAUUAA
Impatiens glandulifera is the source of this 437-nucleotide long non-coding RNA. RefSeq lists it as uncharacterized. Lineage: Eukaryota; Viridiplantae; Streptophyta; Magnoliopsida; Ericales; Balsaminaceae. The record is from RefSeq and is a predicted model, not a curated record. The transcript has 3 exons.